GCAGAAGAGAAUGAUCUUCCUUGCCCCGCGAAGAAGAUAAGCACAGGUGCUCCCGGUCGUCGCGCCUCGCUGGCCCCCGGUCGCCUCACACGACUCCGCUCCGCGCCCCCCUCCUCCUCCUGCUCCCCCGCCAAUCCGGCGACCCCCCACCCACCCCGCCUGAUCGGCCGCCUCCCCCGUCCCCCCCUACACCACGCAGCCCCAGCCCAGGCCCCGCCCCGCAAUGCCGGGCCUCGUCGCCGCCGAGCAGGACGCCGUCUCGCUGGNNNNNNGCGUCGCCCGGGCCCUCAACCGCCGGAUCUCCGACCUCGUCGCCCUCCUCUUCCGCCACAAGAGCGCGGGGUCCUUCGGCGCCGUCGCGGGCUUCGCCAUCGCCGUCGUCUUCGCGUGGAAGUUCCUGCGCUCCUCCUCGACGCCCCGGCCCCGCCGCCCCGCCGCCCCCAAGCGGCCCUCGCCCGCCGGCUCCGCCGCGCCUGCCCCCGACGGCCCGGCCGAGCCCGCCGGCGACUCCGGGACGCUGACGACGCGGCAGAUCGUGGCGAGGCGGCUCGGCGGGUGCCGAAGGGUCACUUGCCAACUAAUCGGUAUCGUAUUUGAGGAGAAAACUCCCGAGGAGCUUCAGAAUCAUGCCACCGUUAAGCCCUCAGUGGUGGAACUACUACUGGAAAUAUCCAAAUACUGUGAUUUUUAUUUGAUGGAAACUGUACUUGAUGAUAAGAGUGAGGAGAAUGCUCUUAUGGCCCUGGAGAAAGCCGGGCUUUUCAAUACUGGUGGCUUGAUGAAAGAAAAGGUACUCUUUUGCAGCAGUGAAGUAGGCCGAACUUCGUUUGUUCGACAGUUGGAGUCAGAUUUCCACAUCGACGCAAGCCUCGAGAUAAUUUCCCAACUAUCUCGGUUCAUCCGGUGCCAGCUAUUCGUUUCCUCCAUGGAAGGAGGGCAGCUCGCAGCCAAUGUAUUUAACUCUCCGAGCCUGGAGCAGUUCUUCUCUUGAGAACGGUAGGGAAAACAUAAGGGGUUCACACCCUAAUAGCACAUCCUUUCAAGCCCCGAGGUGUCAGGCAAUUCCGUGAUGCCAGCUUCGCAGAAGAACCUCAGAAUAUAAAGUGAGGCAGGCAACCCACUGCUGAUCAUGUCACCGCAGCUGUCGCUGGUUCAUUCAGUUGGCCUUGUAGUUGUGCUUGUAGUUAAUAACAAUGGUAAGUUAGACUGAUGAGGUUGAUCAUGGCAGUGCACUGAAGAUGUAAAUUGCAUGCAUGACACAAAGCAAGCAUCAUCCUCUAUAUAAAGAGAACUUUCGUCAUUGGAGCUUGGGCAGUCGUAUCAACUUGUGUGUGUAACUGUAGAUGAUGGUAUUAUGAUCUGCAUUCAUACUUCACUGAAGUGUACUGGAUGUGAACUUAAACUUACCGUGCUGCCCAGCUCGCCCCAGGGGUUGAGAGUCGUAACGCUGAUCAGCCAGAUCUUUGCAUGAACUGAAAGAUUGUGUGGAAAGAUUUAGAGAAAGGC
RNAcentral lists this ribosomal RNA (1506 nucleotides) under Triticum aestivum (bread wheat). Its description in RNAcentral is "partial small subunit ribosomal RNA". Lineage: Eukaryota; Viridiplantae; Streptophyta; Magnoliopsida; Poales; Poaceae. The record is from RNAcentral.